Molecule: ribosomal RNA, 509 nt
Filed under: Streptomyces sp. 310C03
Lineage: Bacteria; Bacillati; Actinomycetota; Actinomycetes; Kitasatosporales; Streptomycetaceae
Description: bacterial SSU rRNA
Rfam family: Bacterial small subunit ribosomal RNA
Source: RNAcentral
UAGUGGCGAACGGGUGAGUAACACGUGGGCAAUCUGCCCUUCACUCUGGGACAAGCCCUGGAAACGGGGUCUAAUACCGGAUAACACUCUGUCCCGCAUGGGACGGGGUUGAAAGCUCCGGCGGUGAAGGAUGAGCCCGCGGCCUAUCAGCUUGUUGGUGGGGUGAUGGCCUACCAAGGCGACGACGGGUAGCCGGCCUGAGAGGGCGACCGGCCACACUGGGACUGAGACACGGCCCAGACUCCUACGGGAGGCAGCAGUGGGGAAUAUUGCACAAUGGGCGAAAGCCUGAUGCAGCGACGCCGCGUGAGGGAUGACGGCCUUCGGGUUGUAAACCUCUUUCAGCAGGGAAGAAGCGAGAGUGACGGUACCUGCAGAAGAAGCGCCGGCUAACUACGUGCCAGCAGCCGCGGUAAUACGUAGGGCGCAAGCGUUGUCCGGAAUUAUUGGGCGUAAAGAGCUCGUAGGCGGCUUGUUGCGUCGGUUGUGAAAGCCCGGGGCUUAACCCC